AAGGUUUGACAUGGAGGGCAAAGUUGAAGAAAUUCAACGGAGGUUAUCCCGACACAGGUGGUGCAUGGUCGUCGUCAGUUCGUGCUGUGAAGCAUAUGCUUAAGUGCUAUAACGAACGCAACCCUCGUAUUUAGUUACUAUCAUUCAGUUGAGAACUCUAAAUAGACUGCUAAGGUAACUUAGAGGAAGGAGAGGAUGACGUCUGAUCAUCAUGCCCCUUAUAUCUUGGGCUACA
Molecule: ribosomal RNA, 235 nt
Filed under: uncultured bacterium
Lineage: Bacteria
Description: partial 16S ribosomal RNA
Rfam family: Bacterial small subunit ribosomal RNA
Source: RNAcentral